CGAGUUUGAUCCUAGCUCAGAAUGAACGCUAGAAAUAUACAUUACACAUGCAAAUUUAUGAUUAUAUCAUAGUGAAUAGGUGAGGAUAUAUAAAUUUUUAAUUUUAAAUAGAUUAUAAUAUAUAAUAAUCUAUAAGCGCAUUUAUUUAUAUAUAAUUGUACUAUAUUAAAAAUAAUUAUUGUUUAAAAUAAAAUUUAUAUUUGAUUAACUAGUUGGUAAAAUAAAAGCCUACCAAGGUUAUGAUCAAAAAUUGGUUUUAAAGAACGUACAAUCACAUUAGGAUUGAAAUAAAGCCUAAAUUUUUUUUUAAAUCAGCAGUGAGGAAUAUUUUACAAUAAGCGUAAGCUUGAUAAAGUAAUAUUUCUUAAAGGAUGACAGUAUAUUUUUAUAUUGUAAACUUUAUAUUUUAUUUUUAAAUAUUGAUAAAAAUAAAAUAUUAGUAUUUGCUAAUUUCUGUGCCAGCAGCAGCGGUAAUACAGAAAAUACAAGCGUUAUUCACUUUAUUUGGCGUAAAGCGUUUUAAGGUUUUAUAUUAAUUUUAUUUUAAAAUAUUUAAUUUAAAUUUAAAUAAAAAAUAAAUAAUAAUAUAAUAAGAGUAUUAUAAAAGUAUUAAGAAUUUUUUGAGAAGUGGUGAAAUACAAUUAUACAAAAAAGAAUACCAAAGGCGAAAGCAUAAUACUAUAUAAUAACUGACACUUAUAAACGAAAGCUAAGGUAGCAAAUAGGAUUAGAUACCCUAGUAGUCUUAGCUGUAAACUAUGAAUAUUUUAUAUUUAUAUAAAUAUAUAAAUAUAAUAACUAACGUAAUAAAUAUUCCGCCUGAGUAGUAUAUUCGCAAGAACGAAAUUCAAAGGAAUUGACGGGAGCUUAUACAAGUGGUGGAACAUGUGGCUUAAUUCGAUGCAACACGAUAAACCUUACCAAAAUUUAACAAUAUUUUUAAUAUUAAGUGAUUAAUAAUUUAAUAAAAUAUAUAGGUAGUGCAUGGCUGUCGUCAGUUCGUGCUGUGAAGUAUUAAUUUAAGUAUUAUAACGAACGUAACCUUUUAUAAAAUAAUUUUUUAUAAUAUAUUUAUUAAAUAUAUAAAAAAGAUUACGUCAAGUCAUUAUGCUCCUUAUAUUUUGGGCUGCUCACGUGUUACAUAAAAUAUAACAAUAUUUUAUUAUAUGAAAAUAUAAUAUAUUUAAAUAUAUUUAUAGUUCUGAUUAUAAAUUGAAACUCAUUUAUAUGAGGAUGGAAUCACUAGUAAUCGCUAAUAAGAAAUAUAGCGGUGAAUAAGUUCUUAAGCUUUGUACACACCGCCCGUCACAUCUGGAAAAUAUUAUAUUAUAUAAAAAUUAUUGUAAAAUAAUAAUAUAUAAUUAUAUAAUUUAGAUGAAGUCGUAACAAGGUAGCCGUACUGGAAGGUGCGGCUG
This 1415-nucleotide ribosomal RNA is filed under the name Plasmodium vinckei lentum. Its description in RNAcentral is "bacterial SSU rRNA". It matches the Rfam family "Bacterial small subunit ribosomal RNA". Lineage: Eukaryota; Apicomplexa; Aconoidasida; Haemosporida; Plasmodiidae. The record is from RNAcentral. RNAcentral also lists the same sequence under 1 other name.